This is a long non-coding RNA of Anopheles aquasalis, 1783 nucleotides long. RefSeq lists it as uncharacterized. The record is from RefSeq and is a predicted model, not a curated record. Lineage: Eukaryota; Metazoa; Arthropoda; Insecta; Diptera; Culicidae.
UGCUGUUCGCCAUUCCAAUGGAUACUAGACAGGCUGACUGAAUAGUAUAACCGGAGAGCAACAUUGCGCGAUGUGCGCGUGUUUGCAAUCCUAGCCUAGUCAGCCCCAAACGUUUUGUGCCCUGCCGUUCAGUUGGUUUCCGAUGCUGGUGCUAGCGAACAGAGGAAUGGAGGACAAAGGACGAAGGAAGAAUUGGGACACAUCCAAUGCAGUGGCCAAAUACGGGGACGUGCCAGUGGACAGAAACGAGAUGCACCAUACAUACUAGUUAUCAAACACAGCUGGUGUGCCACAGUUUCCGGUAGGGAUGGUCUGAUCUGAUUGUACGCAGUCCAGUGGAAGCGUGUUCCACGUUUGUCUGUGAAGAAGUAUCCAAGACAUUCGGCGCGAAAAAUAUACUUACACAUCCACACACACACACACACAGACACACACAUACACAUGCAAAAAGCACACAUGAUACACACAUUCAUCAUGCGUGAUCAUUGCGUGCAUCGUGCUCGUCCUGCUGCUCUUCAGCUCCUUCUACACUCCACAUACGGUUCCUGCAACACACAACACUCAUCAACAUCAUCGGACGUGGGAAUGGAAGAAUAAUUAAGAUCAUGCAUGAUCAGCCUCAUUGAAGAAAGGCUCUCAUCGAUGUGCAGAGACGAAGCUGUGAAGCACAGAACACUCUGAUGAGGAUCCUUUUUUUCCUUCACGAAUUUCGACACGUGGCCAUAAAGUUUCGGAUUUUCAGAAUAGUUGCACAACAAACGAUAGUUGACGACAGAGGGAGAACAAGAGUAGCGGAGAAAAAGAAAAAUACAGGCAGAGAGAGAGAGAGAGAGAGAGAGAGAAAGGCAGAGAAAAGGAGUAGCUGGAGUCAUCGGCAUGAUAAAGAAAAUCGAUCAGCGUGUGCAUAAAAUCCGGCCAAUGAUAAGCUUUUGUGAGAAGUAUCCUUACAAGAACACAUUAAUACACCGAACACACCAUCAUAUGACACGCACAUACACAGACACAUACAUCACACGUUGAACAAAUUUUCACAACAAAGUGGGAAAAAGGGAAACACUGAUAAAGGACGAAAUGACGGCAGAUGGUGCUGAUCACGGAACGUUACGUGGUGGGGGAGGAGGGCUUAAGGGGAAUACUUAGGCAAUAGUGUGCACUUUAGAAGGGAUGGGACCAAAAUGACGAUGAAUAACGUGCCACAGGUGGCAGUGUUCUUCCUCUCCUCCCUCACCAGUUAGCGCGUUACACGUUGUAGUGGACAGAAUUCAUUGGCUAAGCUACUGUCUAGUGGUCGAUGAAUGAUUACGACCACAUUAUUUCAUUUGUUUGCGGACCUCGCUGUCUCGAUGCGUUCCCGAUUUUCGCUACCACUACCCACUAAUGAUGUGUCAGCUCAAGAUCAAAUGUUUCUCUUGUUUUGCGUUUGUUGUAUAGUUUUCCGAGUGAAAUUCUUUAUUUAUACUCCCACACUUGCGCAAUCAUCUCCGCGCCACCCUUCUGCUGGGCGGUAUUUCUCAUAGGAAAACAAAACAAACAGAAGAGAACAAAACUAAUCUGCUAAUAAUCAUCCUAAAUGUGUAUGCAGCAUUAAAUCUAGACUCCUUCUUUUAAGCAAAACGCCUAAGCCUCCCUUUUCUGCACGUUGUUGCCUCUAUAACACUGUUAUAUCCCUUUCGCUAUGUACGCUUUACACGCUUCGAUCUGCCAAAAACCGUAAUACAAUAGAUGUACAAAACGAGCGUGUGCACAAUGGACCAAAUGUUGAACAAUUCUGUUUUUGCCGUAA